UACGUAGGGGGCAAGCGUUGUCCGGAUUUAUUGGGCGUAAAGAGCGUGUAGGCGGUCAGGUAGGUCGGUUGUGAAAACUGGAGGCUCAACCUUCAGAGGUCGACCGAAACCCCCUGGCUAGAGUCCGGGAGAGGAGAGUGGAAUUCCUGGUGUAGCGGUGAAAUGCGCAGACAUCAGGAAGAACACCCGUGGCGAAAGCGGCUCUCUGGAACGGUACUGACGCUGAGACGCGAAAGCGUGGGGAGCGAACAGG
RNAcentral lists this ribosomal RNA (253 nucleotides) under uncultured bacterium. RNAcentral describes it as "partial 16S ribosomal RNA". It matches the Rfam family "Bacterial small subunit ribosomal RNA", at positions 524 to 776 of the family's 1533-position model. The record is from RNAcentral.